UACGGAGGGUGCAGGCGUUAAUCGGAAUUACUGGGCGUAAAGCGUGCGCAGGCGGUCUUUUAAGUCAGAUGUGAAAUCCCCGGGCUUAACCUGGGAACUGCGUUUGAAACUGGAAGGCUAGAGUGUGGCAGAGGGGGGUGGAAUUCCACGUGUAGCAGUGAAAUGCGUAGAUAUGUGGAGGAACACCGAUGGCGAAGGCAGCCCCCUGGGCUAACACUGACGCUCAUGCACGAAAGCGUGGGGAGCAAACAGG
RNAcentral lists this ribosomal RNA (253 nucleotides) under uncultured bacterium. RNAcentral describes it as "partial 16S ribosomal RNA". It matches the Rfam family "Bacterial small subunit ribosomal RNA", at positions 524 to 776 of the family's 1533-position model. The record is from RNAcentral.